ACGUAGGGUGCGAGCGUUAAUCGGAAUUACUGGGCGUAAAGCGUGCGCAGGCGGUUUGCUAAGACAGGUGUGAAAUCCCCGGGCUUAACCUGGGAAUGGCGUUUCUAACUGGCAAGCUGGAGUACGAUAGAGGGUGGUAGAAUUCCAGGUGUAGCGGUGAAAUGCGUAGAGAUCUGAAGGAAUACCGAUGGCGAAGGCAGCCACCUGGGUCAAUACUGACGCUCAUGCACGAAAGCGUGGGGAGCAAACGG
Molecule: ribosomal RNA, 251 nt
Filed under: uncultured prokaryote
Description: partial 16S ribosomal RNA
Rfam family: Bacterial small subunit ribosomal RNA
Source: RNAcentral